Aedes aegypti (yellow fever mosquito) is the source of this 813-nucleotide long non-coding RNA. RefSeq lists it as uncharacterized. The record is from RefSeq and is a predicted model, not a curated record. NCBI's taxonomy places the organism in Eukaryota, Metazoa, Arthropoda, Insecta, Diptera, Culicidae. The transcript is spliced from 3 exons.
ACUGCGCCGCGUCACCGUUAUCAAAAGCGUUAUCAGAGCACAGCUAAGGUCGGCAACAAUGCCAACAGAAACAGUUCGUGGAAUGACAGCUCUGAUCGCACGCUGCUGCACUAUGCUGGAUGCAUCUCGUGUGAGGAGACGUUGAUUCACUAACCGGCUCGUGAUCACUCUCGCGCUAUAUUCCACACCUUCUGGCGCAGACGGAUUCAGUUGAAGGCUGGUGCGUAUCCAUACAGCCCAAACGGCGAUGCUGAAGUUCAUUCCUUCUGUACAAGCCCAUUGCGAAACAGCUGAUUUGGAUUUCACACGGUACUGCAACAAACAACAUAUCCUACACGUGAUGGACAAGUUUGGAGUAAAGUAACCGAAACGCACUUUGAUUAACACUAUUUUACCGCCCAUCGCUUUACGAACCGCAGGAUGUGUGCCAAAACUGCCCACAACGGUAUAACACGUAGGAACCGACCUCGUUCAUCGUCGCAUCGGUUUUUUGCUGGCUCAGACAAACGGAUAUUUCAGAAUCUAUCAAUCCCAUUUCUGUCGUUUGACUGUAGCAUCCGAUAGUUACAAUGAUUACUCGACAACCGGCACUGCUGUGGCGUAGCCUUCGUUCAACUACUCCCUCAAAACAAAUAUCGGCGAAAAAGUUCAUCACGCCAGGCAGCCCGUAUAUACCAUGCCCACACAGUUACGGAUCACACACGGUUAUGGAUCACUUUGGCGGUUGAGAUCGAUAACAGUAAUACCUCGAUAUAAUAGAACUAUUCUCAUUUCGUUAUAUCGAAGUAGAUUUUAUUUCGUGAUUUUGUUCAA